RNAcentral lists this transfer RNA (69 nucleotides) under Nerthra indica. RNAcentral describes it as "tRNA-Tyr". The record is from RNAcentral. Lineage: Eukaryota; Metazoa; Arthropoda; Insecta; Hemiptera; Gelastocoridae.
AAUAAAGUGGCUGAAAUUAUAGGCUGUAAAUUGUAAAUUUAUUUAUGAUCAAUUGUUGAUCCUUUAUUA